UCUCUCUCUCUCUCUCUCUCCCCUCCUCUCUCUCUUUCCCCUCCAUCGUUUGUAUAUCAUUCAUCAUGUUUUGUAUCGAACGGUAUAGAUCGAAUAAGAUUAACGCACGUUCAUUAAUUACGAUCGAUCGCGCAACUCGCACAUCGUGACUAAUGAAGAAAUCGAUAGUAUGUAACCGGUAUUUGCAUAUCGGCUCGCGUUAGCUUUCACGCGAAGCGUAUCCCGGAAUGCAUAGAACUCGGCGAUCUAUCGAUUUAUCACCUGGCAAGAAUUCACCCACGUAACACGUACGACCACGGUUUCUCGAGGAGCGAGAAUCUAUGUCAUGAUUUAAUAUGGUUUCGAAAGUCGCGAGCCACGAAGUUAUACCAGCGCGGUUUCAGGCUUGUUUGGUAUUUUAUUGUUUUCAAGCUGCCGCUCUCUUUCAUCAUCCUCGUCCUGGUUCCUCCCCGCUAAAUCGCCCGUGCCCUUUCUUUUUCACUGUCUCAUUUUCUCGCCCCAAAUUAUCCUCGCCAUCGCGCCACAAAUCUUCCUUGUCAUGGCGUCCAACUGUCCUCGGAUACGCUCUCACCUUCUCUCUCUCUCUCUCUCUCUCCUCCCCCCUUUAUUUUCUAUAUUCUUCGUUUCAUCUUUUCUUUUUCUCGCUCUUUUCGGUAUCCAUUUCUCGCUCGCUUCCCUCUCUCCGUUCUUUUUUUUCCUCUGUCCCUCCCCUUCCCCUCCUCCCGUUCAUCGAUAAUGGGAUUCGCUCGAUAAGAAAUCGAACGAAAGAAAAAUCUUACUCCAUUUUUCCUCGCGUUUUUGUUCACGCUCCAAAGCGUGACGACAUCGGCAUUCCACGGAUUAUCACACGGAAGCCGCAUCAUCGUUGAAUUAGCAUGGGUCCACCACAUCGCGGUGCACGCUUCUCUCCGUGUAACGUUUUGUAAGCGUUACGCAAUGCACGACGGAAAAUAACUACGAAUAAGAAACGCUGCAGUUUGACGAAGGUCAGUAAAGGAACGCAACGCAAGUGUGUAAUGCAGUAAACAGCACGCGUGACCGUCGGACAAGAAAACGCACGCGAACGCUUCGACUGCAUAUUUCACGCCGUUAUUAUCGGCCGCGAUGCCGUGUAUAUUUUUUUUCCCUCCCUCCCUCCCUCCCACCUCCCCACCACUCCUCCCCCUCCCUUUCCCCUCCCCUCCUCCCCUCCCGUCUCCUCCCCCUCCCUGUUCAACGUCGAUUCGAUUCAUGGCGUCAAUCGGGAAACGUGGAAGGGACUUGGGGUCAAAUCUGCGCGCGAGUUUCUCGCGAAUCGGCCGCAUCACCGAAGACAGAAGCUGCGAUCGACGUUUGACCUAUUUGAAGAGAACCGCAACGCUCGAACCGCGAAAUGGUAUCACGGUUUGUUGUUUCUCUCUUCUGUGCGAAUCUGUUCAAUCGCGUUAAGGAAGUUAAGCUGGCAAGAAGAGAGAUCGCUAUGGAAGAAAAAAAUUCGUUCGUUGAUCAAUUCGAAAUUGAUAUCCCCCUAGGUAGGGGGAUGGAAUCGAAUUAGAGAGAGAAAGAGAAAGAGGGAGAGGAAGGCUAUGCGUGGAAUCUCUGGAAAAAUUCUUCCUUCCGUGGGCAAAAACAUGGACGGAAAGCGGACGGGAUAUUCUCUUGGGAACGGGUUGAAAGAUAGAGUCACGGGAACCGAUCUUCAUUAUGAACAACCUGACACAUAAGAAAAGUUUAGUUUCGUCUCGGAUACGAUUAUUGUAUUGGAACGAUUACGACGAUCGUACACGUUGUGCUUCUCGAACCAAUUAAAACGUUCUUCAAAUAAUGAAAAAAAAAAACGAAUCGGAAAGAGAGAGAGAGAAAGAGAGAGAAUCAAAGUAACGCGUUGUAUUUCGAAUAGAAAAAAAUGUACCAUUCGAAAUAUAAAAGGUUGAACAAAACAUAGUAAAUCAUUGCAUAUCUGACAAAGCUUGUAGUAAACGCGUGGCAGAGAAAAAAUCGUAAAAAUAUAUCGUACAGUGCGUUUGAAAAUUAUCGAUAAUUCAAAGCAAUGCGACACACUUUGUCACAUUUUCCUCGGUUUCGAGAUGAUAGAAAACCACAGCCGAGCCAAUAAAAAAUUAUCUUUUGUAAUUUCUACACUCUUUAAGUUAUUUCGAAGAAUAGAAUUGUGUUUCCACCACGCGAAACACACGUCUGUCCGAUUCUAAUUACCACGUUUCGUCUCGUAGAUAUAAACGAACGUUGAAUAGACACCGCGAUGGAACGUGGUUUUAGAGACAUACAGUCGGGAAGGGACUAUUAUUUUCCACGGCAUGUCCCGAUGUUUCGAACCCAGCCGUGAGAACCGGAAUGAUAGCAUGACCGGAAGAGCGGCUUGAGAACUGAGAGGAGACUUGCAGAUAGUCGUUGAAGAAUCGCAGGUAUAUAUAUAUAUUUAUAUAUAUAUAUAUAUAUACGGUGCACUGAGAAGAUUCGAAUCGUGAGAACCAGACGGGAAAACACGGCGGCCGGAUUCCCUUGCAUACCAGACCGUUCCAUCUUUAUAAUAAAUCACUGGAAACCGUUCUCUUGAUCGAAUUAAUGUUUGUAAAUUAAGCCACGUUUCUACUGAAUCGGCACGCAAUCGCACGAGAGAGGGAGGAGGGAUGGCGAAAGAAAGGUAAAAAAAAAAAAAAAAACGAAACGAAA
RNAcentral lists this long non-coding RNA (2670 nucleotides) under Apis florea (little honeybee). Its description in RNAcentral is "uncharacterized LOC116413949". Lineage: Eukaryota; Metazoa; Arthropoda; Insecta; Hymenoptera; Apidae. The record is from RNAcentral.